This 497-nucleotide ribosomal RNA is filed under the name uncultured bacterium. RNAcentral's name for it is "partial 16S ribosomal RNA". It matches the Rfam family "Bacterial small subunit ribosomal RNA", at positions 28 to 507 of the family's 1533-position model. The record is from RNAcentral.
GAUGAACGCUGGCGGCGUGCCUAAUACAUGCAAGUCGAGCGAACGGACGAGAAGCUUGCUUCUCUGAUGUUAGCGGCGGACGGGUGAGUAACACGUGGAUAACCUACCUAUAAGACUGGGAUAACUUCGGGAAACCGGCGCUAAUACCGGAUAAUAUUUUGAACCGCAUGGUUCAAAAGUGAAAGACGGUCUUGCUGUCACUUCUAGCUGGAUCCGCGCUGCAUUAGCUAGUUGGUAAGGUAACGGCUUACCAAGGCAACGAUGCAUAGCCGACCGGAGAGGGUGAUCGGCCACACUGGAACUGAGACACGGUCCAGACUCCUACGGGAGGCAGCAGUAGGGAAUCGUCCGCAAUGGGCGAAAGCCUGACGGAGCAACGCCGCGUGAGUGAUGAAGGUCUUCGGAUCGUAAAACUCUGUUAUUAGGGAAGAACAGAUGUGUAAGGAACUGUGCACAUCUUGACGGUACCUAAUCAGAAAGCCACGGCUAACUACGUG